UAACAAAAAUAUGUCAUCUUUUUUCAGAAAUUAAAACAGGAAGGUGGAAGGAUCUCAUGUUUACUAGAAGUGGUGCGGUCGGAUGAAAACAGCAAACAGAAAGUAGAAAAAGGAAGUUUUGACAUUGAGUUGAUGAAUCGGACGUGAAUUUGGAGAGAGUGGUACACCAAGAGCUUCACAUUUUAAAACAGCUGAUUCUCCAGGUCUAUGAUUAAUUCUAUGUGCAGUGGAGUGAAUUCUAGCAGGAAAAUUUCUCUGAAAUUAAAACAGGAAGGUGGAAGGAUCUCAUGUUUACUAGAAGUGGUGCGGUCGGAUGAAAACAGCAAACAGAAAGUAGAAAAAGGAAGUUUUGACAUUGAGGUUGAUUAACUUUUUAUUCUUCGUGGCAAGGUGCCAUUUUUUUUGCAUGAAAUCAUAGUAUAACAUUACUAAA
Molecule: long non-coding RNA, 433 nt
Organism: Mytilus trossulus (common blue mussel)
Lineage: Eukaryota; Metazoa; Mollusca; Bivalvia; Mytilida; Mytilidae
Exons: 3
Source: RefSeq, a predicted model, not a curated record